GGAGGGAUUCCCGAGUGGCUAAAGGGAGCAGACUGUAAAUCUGCCGGCUCUGCCUUCGAAGGUUCGAAUCCUUCUCCCUCCACCA
Molecule: transfer RNA, 85 nt
Filed under: Heliomicrobium undosum
Lineage: Bacteria; Bacillati; Bacillota; Clostridia; Eubacteriales; Heliobacteriaceae
Description: Heliobacterium undosum tRNA-Tyr
Rfam family: tRNA
About the family: Transfer RNA (tRNA) molecules are approximately 80 nucleotides in length. Their secondary structure includes four short double-helical elements and three loops (D, anti-codon, and T loops).
Source: RNAcentral